CUGCCGGACCUAUGUAUGGUCUUGGUGGGUCACUUGACCCACUAACUUUCAGGGUUUCAUUUAUUAUUAUUAUUUUUUUAUGGGGCUUUAGAGCCAAAAAUCAUAUUUGGACAGUAACGGUAGUUGGGCUUUUUUAUUAGAAUAGAGUUACAGCGAUAACCCGACAAUUGAGAGAGUGAGAGUUAAGAUUAUUUUGUCAUUUACGAUAUUUAAUUUGAAAAUUCUUUGGAAAUUAUUAUUUAUCAUAUAUGUGAGAUUAUUUUAAAUUCUUUGAGAAUUGUUAUUUUACAUAUAUAUAUGAGAUUUGUGAAUUUAUGACAAUGAUCACUUGUAUGUGUUCAUGUAGUAUAAAUAAUUUUUUAAUGAGUUUGAUCGUAUCCCACUAACACCAAAUGUCUGCGCCCG
This 405-nucleotide long non-coding RNA is filed under the name Olea europaea subsp. europaea. Lineage: Eukaryota; Viridiplantae; Streptophyta; Magnoliopsida; Lamiales; Oleaceae. The record is from RNAcentral.